Molecule: ribosomal RNA, 253 nt
Filed under: uncultured bacterium
Lineage: Bacteria
Description: partial 16S ribosomal RNA
Rfam family: Bacterial small subunit ribosomal RNA
Source: RNAcentral
UACGGAGGGUGCAAGCGUUAUCCGGAUUCACUGGGUUUAAAGGGUGCGUAGGCGGGCAGGUAAGUCCGUGGUGAAAUCUCUGAGCUUAACUCAGAAACUGCCAUGGAUACUAUUUGUCUUGAAUAUUGUGGAGGCAAGCGGAAUAUGUCAUGUGGCGGUGAAAUGCUUAGAUAUGACAUAGAACACCCAUUGCGAAGGCAGCUUGCUACACAAUGAUUGACGCUGAGGCACGAAAGCGUGGGGAUCAAACAGG